Molecule: ribosomal RNA, 508 nt
Filed under: uncultured bacterium
Lineage: Bacteria
Description: partial 16S ribosomal RNA
Rfam family: Bacterial small subunit ribosomal RNA
Source: RNAcentral
GAUGAACGCUAGCUACAGGCUUAACACAUGCAAGUCGAGGGGAAACGAUAGGGAAAGCUUGCUUUUUCUAGGCGUCGACUGGCGCACGGGUGAGUAACGCGUAUCCAACCUGCCCAUCACUUGGGGAUAACCUUGCGAAAGUAAGACUAAUACCCAAUGACGUCUCUAGAAGACAUCUGAAGGAGAUUAAAGAUUUAUCGGUGAUGGAUGGGGAUGCGUCUGAUUAGCUUGUUGGCGGGGUAACGGCCCACCAAGGCGACGAUCAGUAGGGGGUCUGAGAGGAAGGUCCCCCACAUUUGAACUGAGACACGGUCCAAACUCGUACGGGAGGCAGCAGUGAGGAAUAUUGGUCAAUGGACGGGAUUCUGAAGCAGCCAAGUAGCGUGCAGGAAGACGGCCCUAUGGGUUGUAAACUGCUUUUAUAAGGGAAUAAAGUGAGUCUCGUGAGACUUUUUGCAUGUACCUUAUGAAUCAGGACCGGCUAAUUCCGUGCCAGCCGCCGCGGUAA